Long non-coding RNA from Ornithodoros turicata, 676 nucleotides. RefSeq lists it as uncharacterized. The transcript is spliced from 3 exons. The record is from RefSeq and is a predicted model, not a curated record. Lineage: Eukaryota; Metazoa; Arthropoda; Arachnida; Ixodida; Argasidae.
UAUGCCUUGUGUGGUUUUGGUGUUCGGGGAUGCAAAAACAUCUUCGUUCAUCUUCGACGAUGGGCGUUUUCUACCACACGAUUCCACAGGAGAGUGCGCGAAAACGAAUGUGGUUCGAAGCACUCGGCUAUUAGAUACUGCAGUCCUGUCGUGCGUGCUGAGCUCAUUUUACUUCCGAUGACUACGAAGAUGCCGUGGAGGCGAAUUGCGAAGACGUCCGAAGCAAACUGCCGUUCAGUAACCAGUAAGUUUGCUUCAUCGAGGUGACGAGUUCAACACAACGUCUCAGUUAUGUACAGGGCUUUCCUGUGUUGAAGUGGCGCAAGACUGCUCCGUGUGUGUGUGUGUGAUCCAGGCACUCAAGUUGACAUGACAGAAAUAGCUGAAAGCAGAUGCAGAACAUUUGUGUGACGUCAACAGUAGGAGAAGAAACCGAUGAGGACUACUAGCUUCUUUGAAGGGUAGAGGAAUACUUCCUGUCGAGAUAUCAUUAUGACUAAGGAACGCUAAUGAAUUUUCUAGAGAUGCAUUUUCUACACUUGAAUGCCCGGUGAAACAGCAAAAGUUCAUUGUCUUUGAAGCCCCACUACUGGAAUUGUUCAAAGCGUGUUGCAGCUACAGUGAGCCAUGCAAAGUUACCACAUCAUAUUGGUCCUAAAUUUGCAGAGUUCCCAUA